This 1510-nucleotide ribosomal RNA is filed under the name metagenome. Its description in RNAcentral is "bacterial SSU rRNA". It matches the Rfam family "Bacterial small subunit ribosomal RNA". The record is from RNAcentral.
GUUUGAUCCUGGCUCAGAACGAACGCUGGCGGCGUGGCUAAAGCAUGCAAGUCGCACGAUUAAAGCCCCCUUCGGGGGGUGUAUAAAGUGGCGAAAGGGCGAGUAAUGCAUGGGUAACGUACCCCUCGCACAGGGAUAGCUGCGGGAAACUGCAGGUAAUACCUGAUGAGACCACAGUGUCAUAUGGCACAGCGGUCAAAGGGUGGGGAUCCUUCGGGACCUACUGGCGAGUGAGCGGCCCAUGUCCUAUCAGCUUGUUGGUGAGGUAACGGCUCACCAAGGCAUCGACGGGUACCGGGACUGAGAGGUUGACCCGGCGCAUUGGGACUGAGACACUGCCCGGACUCCUACGGGAGGCUGCAGCACCGAAUAUUCCGCAAUGGGCGCAAGCCUGACGGAGCGACGCCGCGUGUGGGAUGAAGCCCUUCGGGGUGUAAACCACUGUCAGGGGUUAGCAAGCAAUGGAGGCCAAUACCCUCCGGCGUUGAGCAGCCCCAGAGGAAGCCACGGCUAACUUCGUGCCAGCAGCCGCGGUAAGACGAAGGUGGCAAGCGUUGUUCGGAAUCACUGGGCUUAAAGAGCACGUAGGCGGCCCGUCAAGCAUCUAGCGAAAUCCCUCGGCUCAACCGAGGAAUGGCUGGGUGAACUGGCGGGCUUGAGGCAGGUAGGGGCACGUGGAACUCUUGGUGGAGCGGUGGAAUGCGUAGAUAUCAAGAGGAACGCCGGUGGCGAAAGCGGCGUGCUGGGCCUGUCCUGACGCUGAGGUGCGAAAGCCAGGGGAGCGAACGGGAUUAGAUACCCCGGUAGUCCUGGCCCUAAACGAUGUCCACUAGGUCGGAGGCUCUCUGACGAUUUUCCGGCCGAAACAAAAGCGUUAAGUGGACCGCCUGGGGAGUACGGUCGCAAAGCUAAAACUCAAAGGAAUUGACGGGGGCUCACACAAGCGGUGGAGCAUGUUGCUUAAUUCGAUCAACGCGAAGAACCUUAUCCUGGGCUUGACAUACUUGGAUACCCAUCUGGAAACAGAGUAGGUUGCUCUUCGGAGUGAAACUUGUACAGGUGCUGCAUGGCUGUCGUCAGCUCGUGUCGUGAGAUGUUGGGUUAAGUCCCGUAACGAGCGAAACCCUUGUCGCUAGUUGCCAGCGCGUAAUGGCGGGGACUCUAGCGAGACUGCCGGUGUUAAACCGGAGGAAGGUGGGGAUGACGUCAAGUCCUCAUGGCCUUUAUGCCCAGGGCUGCAAACGUGCUACAAUGGUCGAAACAAACCGAAGCGAAGCCGCGAGGUGGAGCAAAUCGGACAAAGUCGGCCUCAGUUCGGAUUGGAGUCUGCAACUCGACUCCAUGAAGUCGGAAUCGCUAGUAAUCGUGUAUCAGCGCGACACGGUGAAUGUGUUCCUGAGCCUUGUACACACCGCCCGUCAAGUCAUGGAAGCUGGUAGCGCCCGAAGUCGGCAUAUGUCAGUGCUGCCGAAGGUGAGAUCGGUGACUGGGACUAAGUCGUAACAAGGUA